This 166-nucleotide ribosomal RNA is filed under the name uncultured bacterium. RNAcentral describes it as "partial 16S ribosomal RNA". It matches the Rfam family "Bacterial small subunit ribosomal RNA", at positions 1334 to 1500 of the family's 1533-position model. The record is from RNAcentral.
GCUAGUAAUGGCAGGCCAGCAUACUGCCGUGAAUACGUUCCCGGGCCUUGUACACACCGCCCGUCACACCAUGAGAGUUGGGAAUACCCGAAGCCUGUGAGCUAACAUUAAGAGGCAGCAGUCGAAGGUAGAAUCAAUGAUUGGGGUGAAGUCGUAACAAGGUACC